This 301-nucleotide ribosomal RNA is filed under the name uncultured bacterium. RNAcentral's name for it is "partial 16S ribosomal RNA". It matches the Rfam family "Bacterial small subunit ribosomal RNA", at positions 509 to 809 of the family's 1533-position model. The record is from RNAcentral.
CAGUAGCCGCGGUAAUACAGAGGGUGCAAGCGUUAAUCGGAAUUACUGGGCGUAAAGCGCGCGUAGGUGGUUUGUUAAGUUGGAUGUGAAAUCCCCGGGCUCAACCUGGGAACUGCAUCCAAAACUGGCAAGCUAGAGUAUGGUAGAGGGUGGUGGAAUUUCCUGUGUAGCGGUGAAAUGCGUAGAUAUAGGAAGGAACACCAGUGGCGAAGGCGACCACCUGGACUGAUACUGACGCUGAGGUACGAAAGCAUGGGGAGCAAACAGGAUUAGAUACCCCAGUAGUCCCUGUCUCUUAUAU